RNAcentral lists this ribosomal RNA (223 nucleotides) under uncultured bacterium. RNAcentral's name for it is "partial 16S ribosomal RNA". It matches the Rfam family "Bacterial small subunit ribosomal RNA", at positions 127 to 334 of the family's 1533-position model. The record is from RNAcentral.
CUACCCCAGGUGGUGGAUAACCUUCCGAAAGGAAGGCUAAUACAGCAUGGGACCACGAUCUCGAAAGGGAUUGAGGUGAAAGUCGGCCUCUUCACGAAAGCCGACGCCAGGGGAUGAGCCUGCGGCCCAUCAGCUAGUUGGUAGGGUAAUGGCCUACCAAGGCGAAGACGGGUAGCUGGUCUGAGAGGAUGAUCAGCCACACUGGAACUGAGACACGGUCCAG